Molecule: long non-coding RNA, 1895 nt
Organism: Nematostella vectensis (starlet sea anemone)
Lineage: Eukaryota; Metazoa; Cnidaria; Anthozoa; Actiniaria; Edwardsiidae
Exons: 2
Source: RefSeq, a predicted model, not a curated record
AUGGCUAUUCAGGACCGCAAUUCUGAAUUUCUUUGACACAAGACGAAAGACGUCCGCCAUCUUGACUUUUUCCCGCGAACAACCAUAGUCAACUUUCUAGGAUUCGGAAAGUGAACGCUGAUUGGCUAAUUUGUUUUGCCGCUCUGUGGAGCAGGCGCUCGUGGGGCCUAGGGAAACGGGGUCCCUAAGAGCGACGCGUAGGAGGCUACGAAAGGAUAUGGUUGGUAAAUGAACAUUGCAUGAUCUGUGAAUUAGGCCUCAUGAACUGUAUCUCUAAUGAGCUAAUCUGUCUGCAGGGCUGAAUGAUAUGUAUGUUUUGCUUUUAAAAUGAAAUUGCACAUAUAUCUUAAAAGUUUUAUUGAGCAAAAAUGAUAACAACCAGAAUUUGUUUUAAAGAAUUGUUAUUAUUAGGGAAACAUCACCACUCCGACACUACAUCAAACGCUAAAAUACCAGAUCACCCCCAUACAGUAUUUGGUGUUUUUUAUACCACUCGAAAAGCAGUGUUGUUCAGCUAAUUACUAUGAAUUCAGAUGACUCUCUCUUUCCGAUGGAUUAUACAAUUAUUUUAAUAAGAAGUUCAAUGGAAAAGGAAAAGAUAGAAAAGUGUUGUCGAACUAAAAAAAAUAACUUAAUCUUUUUAUUUAUUUUAUGAAGAAAGAAAAGAUAGGUAAGUGGUGUCAAACUAGAAAAAAAUAACUUAAUCUUUUUAUUCAAUUUUAUUCUUUAAAUAUUUAAAUGUUUUAAAAACAACUUAUUUCACAACUUGGUGCUUAUUGUGUACAAAACAGACUCAAGCUGAUCCAAGCUAAUGUCUCCAAAUUCAUUUAUACUUUUGAAAGACAAGAUGAACAGUUUAUGAAUAUGUAUAUGUAAAAAAAUUGAGGUGGCACACCAUUUGUAUCUAAAUCAUUUAUAGACAAAAUAUAUAGCAUAAUUCUGAACAAUAAAAUGUGACUAAAAUUUAUUACAUUCACGAUGCUGUUUAAUAAAAACAAUGCCUAUUGUAUGGAAAGUCUAGCAUACAGAAUUUUUUACACAGUCGCAUGUGAGAGGUCAAGGCAAUACAAAAUGGUGGCAGUCCGUAGCGUGCUUGCGUUUACUUGUUGGAUCCUUCAUAACAUAGAGAAAUAUUCCAGAUCAUCUUAUAUCUUCUUGGUUAACUAACACUAAUUUCGGUCAUCGUGUCGAUUUGGGUUUCCUGUUUAACAAGCCGCCGCCAUCUUGGGAACGAAAUCUCCCGUCCCCUCCCCCGAUGCGUAAUUAGUAGUCUAUGCGUUGCCUUUCCAGCUUCAAUUUGGACGGCGUCUGUACCAAGAUUUGGGCUACCUUUGGAAGUCCGCGAUACAAAGCGACCAUGAUUUUUCGCACUUGCCCUGCGUUUACGAUUGAAAGCUCCUUCUUCGAUUUAUACCGCGAAUACGAUGGCGAUAUCAAAAAAUUAUUUGCAAUGUCCAGUCCAGAACUACUAUGAUUGCAAAUCAUUUCCCAAGAAAUAAAACAGAAUUGAUUGCUACAUUAUUUUAAACCAAGGCAAACACAGCCACGGAGGAGACACGGAGGAGAAAUCCACGGAAGAGAAAUCCAGUGAAUACCUGAGCAGUAAUCUUUUCAGUAGCUAUUAUCAUGGCCACCACUUAGACCCAAAUAGCUUACUUCGUAUGUACAGGCAUGCAGCCCCGGGUGGGCAAACGGGUUGUGACCCUCCCACUCAGCUACCAAAAAGCAGUCUUUUUAAAAUAUACUUACUCUCCAUAAUAUUUAUGACUGCCCAUCCCCUCCACAGCUAAUCAGAUUGUUUGUUAUGGUUAUCAGACUUCACCUUUCCUUUUCUAGACAUACAAUGCCUUCAAUUAAAUAAUUUCUUUUGUUUAAUAAAAUAAGACUACAAGCAA